AACCUUAUGGACCUGCGGGCGUAUACCUGCGGAAGGAUCAUUAUCGAGUUGCAAAACUCCCUAAACCAUUGUGAACCUACCUGUACCGUUCCUUCGGCGGGCGGCGUCAAGCCCUAACCCGGUCCCCUUUACGGGGGAUGGACCCGCCGGAGGCUCCUAAACUCUUAAUUUUAGUUGGCAUCUCUGAGUAAAUCAAAAUAAGUCAAAACUUUCAACAACGGAUCUCAGAUCGGAAGAGCA
Molecule: unclassified non-coding RNA, 240 nt
Filed under: soil metagenome
Description: partial contains 5.8S ribosomal RNA, internal transcribed spacer 2, and large subunit ribosomal RNA
Source: RNAcentral